CCUUGACAGUUACAUGGUGUAACUGACAUUUGCCAAGACAAGGAGAUUGAUAUG
This 54-nucleotide non-coding RNA is filed under the name unclassified sequences. The record is from Rfam.